This 75-nucleotide transfer RNA is filed under the name Lentisphaeria bacterium. RNAcentral describes it as "tRNA-Glu". It matches the Rfam family "tRNA". Rfam says of the family: Transfer RNA (tRNA) molecules are approximately 80 nucleotides in length. Their secondary structure includes four short double-helical elements and three loops (D, anti-codon, and T loops). Further hydrogen bonds mediate the characteristic L-shaped molecular structure. tRNAs have two regions of fundamental functional importance: the anti-codon, which is responsible for specific mRNA codon recognition, and the 3' end, to which the tRNAs corresponding amino acid is attached (by aminoacyl-tRNA synthetases). tRNAs cope with the degeneracy of the genetic code in two manners: having more than one tRNA (with a specific anti-codon) for a particular amino acid; and 'wobble' base-pairing, i.e. permitting non-standard base-pairing at the 3rd anti-codon position. Lineage: Bacteria; Pseudomonadati; Lentisphaerota; Lentisphaeria. RNAcentral also lists the same sequence under 2 other names. The record is from RNAcentral.
GUCUCCAUCGUCUAGUGGUUAGGACAUCAGGUUUUCAUCCUGGUAACAUGGGUUCAACUCCCGUUGGAGAUGCCA